This 253-nucleotide ribosomal RNA is filed under the name uncultured bacterium. RNAcentral describes it as "partial 16S ribosomal RNA". It matches the Rfam family "Bacterial small subunit ribosomal RNA", at positions 524 to 776 of the family's 1533-position model. The record is from RNAcentral.
UACGGAGGGUGCAAGCGUUAUCCGGAUUCACUGGGUUUAAAGGGAGCGUAGGUGGCUUUGUAAGUCAGUGGUGAAAUAUUGCGGCUCAACCGCAAAACUGCCAUUGAUACUGCUUAGCUUGAAUCACGUCGAGGUGGAUGGAAUAAUACAUGUAGCGGUGAAAUGCUUAGAUAUGUAUUAGAACACCGAUUGCGAAGGCAGUUCACUAGGCGUGUAUUGACACUGAGGCUCGAAAGCGUGGGGAUCAAACCGG